This 403-nucleotide ribosomal RNA is filed under the name Verrucomicrobiota bacterium. Its description in RNAcentral is "Verrucomicrobia bacterium partial 16S ribosomal RNA". It matches the Rfam family "Bacterial small subunit ribosomal RNA", at positions 355 to 776 of the family's 1533-position model. The record is from RNAcentral. Lineage: Bacteria; Pseudomonadati; Verrucomicrobiota.
UGGGGAAUAUUGCGCAAUGGGGGAAACCCUGACGCAGCAACGCCGCGUGCGGGAUGAAGGCCUUCGGGUUGUAAACCGCUUUCAGCAGGGAAGACAUCGACGGUACCUGCAGAAGAAGCCCCGGCUAACUACGUGCCAGCAGCCGCGGUAAUACGUAGGGGGCGAGCGUUGUCCGGAAUCAUUGGGCGUAAAGGGUACGUAGGCGGCCCAGUAAGUUAGAAGUGAAAUAAUAUAGCUCAACUAUAUAAAGCUUUUAAAACUGCUAGGCUUGAGAGAUGGAAGGGAAAGUGGAAUUCCUAGUGUAGCGGUGAAAUGCGCAGAUAUUAGGAAGAAUACCGGUGGCGAAGGCGACUUUCUGGUCAUCAUCUGACGCUGAGGUACGAAAGCGUGGGUAGCAAACAGG